UGACCUCAUGAUCUGCCCUCCUCAGCCUCCCAAAGUGCUAGGAUUACAGAUGUGAGCCACCGCCCCCGGCCACAGGACCUUAUGAGUCCAGGUUUUUCUUUUACUUUUAUUUGAACUUCAAAGGAAGACGAUCUUGGUAUUUUCAUUUCAAAAAAUGUUGUGGGAAAUGCCAUCAGGGAAAUGAAUCUUCGGUGGUGGCACUCCAGGCUUGGCAUAACAGCAUGCAUUUUUGCUGGUUUUAAGUGCAAAGGAUAGCUCUUAAUGCCCCUUACUGCAUUGCCAUAGUCUAUCUUCCUGGAUUCUUUACUUGUUUUGCAGGCUGAGACCUGGGAUAUUGGAAUGCGAAGGAGAUUAGAAGCUGGUUACAUUUAAACAGGCAAGCCAGCUGAGGAAGAGCUGGGGCUGGAGCUGAAUUCUCCCAUUUAUCAACGUCUUCACCAAGGAGUCCUUGUCACCCCUUCCAGUCACCCACACAGCCCCCUGAGCCAUUUCAGUCCCCACUACGAUGGCUUGCUGAGUCCUGGAUGCUGAUUAAAAACCUGAAGCAAGCUGCUCCCUCCAUACCUUUUCUUUGUGGUUGGGUAAACAGUGAAUGGCUGGCUACCUCUUCCUCUCCAUUUCAGAGGUGAUUAUCUGGUUCUAUAUUGGCCAAACAAAAUGUUUCAUCCUCUUGCCCUUUAUUACAUGUUCAAAAAUAGGCAAAUGACCCAAGCCCAGGAAUGAAAAUCAAUACCUAGUUAAGCAAGAAGCUCUCUCUUUACACAGGGAAAUUAAUUAAGCAGGUAGCAUGUAACCCUACAAGUGCUGGUGGCCAUUUUUACCACCACUUGGGAAGAACAUUUAGGAGAAUAAAGUCUACCCAAUGAAACAAGAGCUGAACUAUGGUGAGGGACAGGCUCAUAAUGACAUUAUUUAAGAAUUCAGAAUGCUCUUGCUUUCCACUUCCCAGUGAUAGUAGUCAAUAACUGUCUUUUUUCUUUUUCUGCUAAAUCUCUUACCAUUUGCAGUAGAAACAUCUUGACUAAUAGACUUCCUAAACACCGUGCAUGAAACAUCUCACUUUUCAACCACAUUCAUCUACAGAAUAAAGUUAUGGCCUUUCAGCACAACCUUCAGUGCCUUUUAGGUUUUAGGCUCAACGUAUAUUUUGAACUUGACAUCUGAGUCACAUUCCUCACCACAGUCCCCUCCUGUCUCCU
RNAcentral lists this long non-coding RNA (1199 nucleotides) under Macaca fascicularis (crab-eating macaque). RNAcentral's name for it is "lncRNA (ENSMFAG00000055316.1)". Lineage: Eukaryota; Metazoa; Chordata; Mammalia; Primates; Cercopithecidae. The record is from RNAcentral.